This 402-nucleotide ribosomal RNA is filed under the name Bacteroidota bacterium. RNAcentral describes it as "Bacteroidetes bacterium partial 16S ribosomal RNA". It matches the Rfam family "Bacterial small subunit ribosomal RNA", at positions 355 to 776 of the family's 1533-position model. The record is from RNAcentral. Lineage: Bacteria; Pseudomonadati; Bacteroidota.
UGGGGAAUUUUGCACAAUGGGGGAAACCCUGAUGCAGCGACGCCGCGUGAUUUAGAAGGCCUUCGGGUUGUAAAAAUCUUUUUUACGGGAUGAAAAUGACAGUACCGUAAGAAUAAGGUCCGGCUAAAUACGUGCCAGCAGCCGCGGUAAUACGUAUGGACCGAGCGUUGUCCGGAAUUAUUGGGCGUAAAGGGUACGCAGGCGGUUUAAUAAGUCGAAUGUUAAAGAUCGGGGCUCAACCCCGUAAAGCAUUGGAAACUGAUAAACUUGAGUAGUGGAGAGGAAAGUGGAAUUCCUAGUGUAGUGGUGAAAUACGUAGAUAUUAGGAGGAAUACCAGUAGCGAAGGCGACUUUCUGGACACAAACUGACGCUGAGGUACGAAAGCGUGGGGAGCAAACAGG